Molecule: long non-coding RNA, 369 nt
Filed under: Brachypodium distachyon (stiff brome)
Lineage: Eukaryota; Viridiplantae; Streptophyta; Magnoliopsida; Poales; Poaceae
Description: long non-coding RNA (BDIS_LNC004055)
Source: RNAcentral
CCCUUCAUGGCCGCGGCCACGGCCUUGCUGAGCGCCGUGUAGACGCUGGUGGGCAAGCGCGUGAUCACGGUGCCCGAGUCGAUGAUCGUCGGCAGGCUGGUGUACUCGGAGGAAGACACCGCCAGCGGCUUCCCGGCCACGGUCAUCCCGGAGAGGCUGAUGAAGUAGAGCGAGUCGUCCAAGGUGUUGGACACCAUGGGCGUGUAGGAGUAACCCCCCGGGUUGUAGGACCCGAUCGAGAGGUACCCUGACGAGGACGUCGACGGGAGGCAGUAGGAGAAGGAAUAACCCAAGGUCGGGGCGAGCUGGUAGAGCAAAGAAAGCUUGUUGCGGGCCAGGCCCAUGAGGCCGGCCGAGCGGCCGAAGAGG